AGGUGCGUGUAUGUAUGAAUAUAUACAUGUGUGUAUAUAUGAAUAUGUAUGUGUGUGUGUCUGCUCAAGAGUUGAGCUUCGUGUGUGGCAUGUAUGCAUAUAUAUAGAUAUGUGCAUAUGUGUGUGCAAGUGUAUGGAAACCUCGGUUGAAUUGUUCAAACUCGAAUAAAUCCGAUUAGCCUAAUACUUUUGGGUGUUGCACCGGCGGUUUCCUUCAAGAGUUAGCCGCUAGCACCGCCAAUCUUAAAGAUCCAUUGAUGAAAUCGGUGUGGAUACUUGUAGAGGCAUCACGUAUGGGGCGCUCGGUCGAUGACUCGAAAAGUUUCAGGUUCACGAGGUGGCUCGGCCUACUAAUAAUCUACAAAAAUACACAAAUUAAAGUCAGUUGUGGACAAUCCCAUCCUGGCCCCUUGAGCACUCGAACGCAAAUCUUUGGUUAUAAUUAAUCUUCCUGUUUUACUUUAUAUGAGCAUCUUGAUGGUCUUUUCUCCUUCAAAAAAAUUAAAAGAAAAAAUUGUUGCAUUCCUAAUUAGUUAUACGGGAAGUAGAACUUUGGUUAUAAUUAAUCUUCCUGUUUGUAAUUACAUCGACCUGUACGAAUUCACUAUAUCUUUUGACAAGAAUGAUUUUAAGAGCAUUGUUGUUUAGCGAUAUUGUUGGAGUUUCCAUACCCUGCUUUUAUAUUUUUUAGUUUAUUUUCGUUUUUCACUGGACUGGGCUUUUACCCCCAUUUAGCUAUCGACAAAAAAAAAAAGCCUAUAUACACCCAACAA
Molecule: non-coding RNA, 773 nt
Organism: Punica granatum (pomegranate)
Lineage: Eukaryota; Viridiplantae; Streptophyta; Magnoliopsida; Myrtales; Lythraceae
Source: RefSeq, a predicted model, not a curated record